RNAcentral lists this ribosomal RNA (560 nucleotides) under uncultured Flavobacteriia bacterium. RNAcentral's name for it is "bacterial SSU rRNA". It matches the Rfam family "Bacterial small subunit ribosomal RNA", at positions 8 to 570 of the family's 1533-position model. The record is from RNAcentral. Lineage: Bacteria; Pseudomonadati; Bacteroidota; Flavobacteriia.
AGAGUUUGAUCAUGGCUCAGGAUGAACGCUAGCGGCAGGCUUAACACAUGCAAGUCGAGGGGUAUAGUAGCAAUACUAGAGACCGGCGCACGGGUGCGUAACGCGUAUGCAAUCUACCUUUUGCAGAGGGAUAGCCCAGAGAAAUUUGGAUUAAUACCUCAUAGUAUAUAGAGUUGGCAUCAACAUUAUAUUAAAGUCACAACGGCAAAAGAUGAGCAUGCGUCCCAUUAGCUAGUUGGUAAGGUAACGGCUUACCAAGGCAACGAUGGGUAGGGGUCCUGAGAGGGAGAUCCCCCACACUGGUACUGAGACACGGACCAGACUCCUAUGGGAGGCAGCAGUGAGGAAUAUUGGACAAUGGGCGCAAGCCUGAUCCAGCCAUGCCGCGUGCAGGAUGACGGUCCUAUGGAUUGUAAACUGCUUUUAUACGAGAAGAAACAUCCCGACGUGUCGGGACUUGACGGUAUCGUAAGAAUAAGGAUCGGCUAACUCCGUGCCAGCAGCCGCGGUAAUACGGAGGGAUCCAAGCGUUAUCCGGAAUCCUUGGGUUUAAAGGGUCC